Molecule: ribosomal RNA, 427 nt
Filed under: uncultured bacterium
Lineage: Bacteria
Description: partial 16S ribosomal RNA
Rfam family: Bacterial small subunit ribosomal RNA
Source: RNAcentral
GUGAGGAAUCUUCCACAAUGGGCGAAAGCCUGAUGGAGCAACGCCGCGUGAAGGAUGAAGGUCUUCGGAUUGUAAACUUCUUUUAUGAGUGAAGAAUAUGACGGUAACUCAUGAAUAAGCACCGGCUAACUACGUGCCAGCAGCCGCGGUCAUACGUAGGGUGCAAGCAUUAUCCGGAGUGACUGGGCGUAAAGAGUUGCGUAGGCGGUUAUGUAAGCGAAUAGUGAAACCUGGUGGCUCAACCACACAGACUAUUAUUCGAACUGCAUAACUCGAGAAUGGUAGAGGUAACUGGAAUUUCUUGUGUAGGAGUGAAAUCCGUAGAUAUAAGAAGGAACACCAAUGGCGUAGGCAGACUACUGGACCAUUUCUGACGCUGAGGCACGAAAGCGUGGGGAGCGAACCGGAUUAGAUACCCCUGUAGUCC